CCAAUAGCGUAUAUUAAAGUUGUUGCAGUUAAAAAGCUCGUAGUUGAAUUUCGGGAUCAAUAUAUCGGUCGUGCCUUGGUACGUACUGGUAUCAUUGGUUUCUCCUUUCUGACGAACCGUGAUGUCAUUAAUUUGGUGUUAUGGGAAGUUAGGACUGUUACUUUGAAAAAAUUAGAGUGUUUAAAGCAGGCUUUAGCUUGAAUACAUUAGCAUGGAAUCAUGGAAUAGGACGUUUGAUUCUAUUUUGUUGGUUUCUAGGAUCGACGUAAUGAUUAAUAGGGAUAGUUGGGGGCAUUAGUAUUCAAUUGUCAGAGGUGAAAUUCUUGGAUUUAUUGAAGACUAACUACUGCGAAAGCAUUUGCCAAGGAUGUUUUCAUUAAUCAAGAACGAAAGUUAGGGGAUCGAAGACGAUCAGAUACCGUCGUAGUCUUAACCAUAAACUAUGCCGACUAGGGAUCGGAUGAUGUUGAUUUUUUAAUGACUCAUUCGGCGCCUUAC
Molecule: ribosomal RNA, 498 nt
Filed under: uncultured Glomeromycotina
Lineage: Eukaryota; Fungi; Glomeromycota
Description: partial small subunit ribosomal RNA
Rfam family: Eukaryotic small subunit ribosomal RNA
Source: RNAcentral